CUAGGUUAAGUCUUGAUGGUAAGAUGCGGGUCUUGGACACCUGAGAUUGAAGGUUCGACUCCUUCAACCUAGACCA
RNAcentral lists this transfer RNA (76 nucleotides) under Clostridiaceae bacterium. RNAcentral describes it as "tRNA-Pro". It matches the Rfam family "tRNA". Rfam says of the family: Transfer RNA (tRNA) molecules are approximately 80 nucleotides in length. RNAcentral also lists the same sequence under 1 other name. The record is from RNAcentral. Lineage: Bacteria; Bacillati; Bacillota; Clostridia; Eubacteriales; Clostridiaceae.